Molecule: transfer RNA, 83 nt
Filed under: Clostridia bacterium
Lineage: Bacteria; Bacillati; Bacillota; Clostridia
Description: tRNA-Leu
Rfam family: tRNA
About the family: Transfer RNA (tRNA) molecules are approximately 80 nucleotides in length. Their secondary structure includes four short double-helical elements and three loops (D, anti-codon, and T loops).
Source: RNAcentral
GCGGGUAUGGCGGAAUUGGCAGACGCGCCGGAUUUAGGUUCCGGUGGGUAACCGUGCAGGUUCGAACCCUGUUACCCGUACCA